Ostrea edulis (European flat oyster) is the source of this 329-nucleotide long non-coding RNA. RefSeq lists it as uncharacterized. The transcript has 2 exons. The record is from RefSeq and is a predicted model, not a curated record. NCBI's taxonomy places the organism in Eukaryota, Metazoa, Mollusca, Bivalvia, Ostreida, Ostreidae.
GUAUUGUGUUAUUUCCAGGAAAAGAGAUAGUGGUAUCUUGUGUAGAUUAAUAUGAGCAAUCCUCACAUUACAGAACACCCGAUCUGUGUAAGCACAACUAAGAUCACGUUAUGCAAGUACAGUGAUGGUAAUACAUCCAAAUGAUUUUACUAGUGUAGGUAAAAACCAGCCUACUUCCCAUAUCAAUGACCAAGACCUACUGAAGGUCAGACUAGCCAUGCAUGACUGGACACACCAAUGGAUAUGCAUGAUGAAAUGGAUGAUGUCAUAGAUUUACUGCCCGGUGACAAAUUCCAGAUGACGAUGGACAAUAAAUCCACAUAACAUGC